GAAUUCCACGUGUAGCGGUGAAAUGCGUAGAGAUGUGGAGGAACACCAGUGGCGAAGGCGACUCUCUGGUCUGUAACUGACGCUGAGGAGCGAAAGCGUGGGGAGCGAACAGGAUUAGAUACCCUGGUAGUCCACGCCGUAAACGAUGAGUGCUAAGUGUUAGGGGGUUUCCGCCCCUUAGUGCUGCAGCUAACGCAUUAAGCACUCCGCCUGGGGAGUACGGUCGCAAGACUGAAACUCAAAGGAAUUGACGGGGGCCCGCACAAGCGGUGGAGCAUGUGGUUUAAUUCGAAGCAACGCGAAGAACCUUACCAGGUCUUGACAUCCUCUGACAAUCCUAGAGAUAGGACGUCCCCUUCGGGGGCAGAGUGACAGGUGGUGCAUGGUUGUCGUCAGCUCGUGUCGUGAGAUGUUGGGUUAAGUCCCGCAACGAGCGCAACCCUUGAUCUUAGUUGCCAGCAUUCAGUUGGGCACUCUAAGGUGACUGCCGGUGACAAACCGGAGGAAGGUGGGGAUGACGUCAAAUCAUCAUGCCCCUUAUGACCUGGGCUACACACGUGCUACAAUGGACAGAACAAAGGGCAGCGAAACCGCGAGGUUAAGCCAAUCCCACAAAUCUGUUCUCAGUUCGGAUCGCAGUCUGCAACUCGACUGCGUGAAGCUGGAAUCGCUAGUAAUCGCGGAUCACAUG
RNAcentral lists this ribosomal RNA (691 nucleotides) under Bacillus sp. NW3. RNAcentral's name for it is "bacterial SSU rRNA". It matches the Rfam family "Bacterial small subunit ribosomal RNA", at positions 664 to 1356 of the family's 1533-position model. Lineage: Bacteria; Bacillati; Bacillota; Bacilli; Caryophanales; Bacillaceae. The record is from RNAcentral.